AGGACGAACGCUGGCGGCGUGCUUAACACAUGCAAGUCGAGCGAGGCCCCACCUUCGGGUGGUGUCCUAGCGGCGAACGGGUGAGUAACACGUGGGCAACCUGCCCCUAGCACUGGGAUAACUCCGGGAAACCGGGCUAAUACCGGAUACGACUUCGGAAGGCAUCUUCUGAAGUGGAAAGGGUUACUGGCUAGGGAUGGGCCCGCGGCCUAUCAGCUUGUUGGUGGGUAACGCCUACCAAGGCUCCGACGGGUAG
This 256-nucleotide ribosomal RNA is filed under the name uncultured soil bacterium. RNAcentral describes it as "partial 16S ribosomal RNA". It matches the Rfam family "Bacterial small subunit ribosomal RNA", at positions 26 to 286 of the family's 1533-position model. The record is from RNAcentral.